ACCAAAUAGAUACCCGGGUAGUCCACGCCCUAAACGAUGCGAACUGGAUGUUGGGUACAUUACGGUACUCCAGUGUCGAAAAGCUAAAACGCGUUAAGUUCGCCGCCUGGGGAGUACGGUCGCAAGACUGAAACUCAAAGGAAAUUGAACGGGGGCCCGCACGAACGCGGUGGAGUAUGUGGUUUAAUUACGAUGUCAACGCGAAGAAACCUUACCUGGCCUUCGUACAUCUGUCGAAUCCUGCAGAGAUGCGGGAGUGCCGCAAGGAACGACAAGACAGGUGCUGCAUGGCUGUCGUCAGCUCGUGUCGUGAGAUGUUGGGUUAAGUCCCGCAACGAGCGCAACCCUUGUCCCUAGUUGCCAGCACGUAAUGGUGGGAACUCUAGGGAGACGU
This 394-nucleotide ribosomal RNA is filed under the name uncultured bacterium. Its description in RNAcentral is "bacterial SSU rRNA". It matches the Rfam family "Bacterial small subunit ribosomal RNA", at positions 772 to 1151 of the family's 1533-position model. The record is from RNAcentral.